Molecule: transfer RNA, 59 nt
Filed under: Desmodus rotundus (common vampire bat)
Lineage: Eukaryota; Metazoa; Chordata; Mammalia; Chiroptera; Phyllostomidae
Description: transfer RNA-Ser
Source: RNAcentral
GAAAAAGUACGCAAGAACUGCUAACUCUUCACACCAUGCCCAACAACAUGGCUUUUUCA